Molecule: transfer RNA, 72 nt
Filed under: Camelus bactrianus (Bactrian camel)
Lineage: Eukaryota; Metazoa; Chordata; Mammalia; Artiodactyla; Camelidae
Also listed under: 2 other names
Rfam family: tRNA
About the family: Transfer RNA (tRNA) molecules are approximately 80 nucleotides in length. Their secondary structure includes four short double-helical elements and three loops (D, anti-codon, and T loops). Further hydrogen bonds mediate the characteristic L-shaped molecular structure. tRNAs have two regions of fundamental functional importance: the anti-codon, which is responsible for specific mRNA codon recognition, and the 3' end, to which the tRNAs corresponding amino acid is attached (by aminoacyl-tRNA synthetases). tRNAs cope with the degeneracy of the genetic code in two manners: having more than one tRNA (with a specific anti-codon) for a particular amino acid; and 'wobble' base-pairing, i.e. permitting non-standard base-pairing at the 3rd anti-codon position.
Source: Rfam by way of RNAcentral
GUGGGUAUAGCUCAGUAGUAGAAGGCACGCUUAGCAUGCAUGAGGUCCUGGGUUAAAUUCCCAGUACCUCCA